CCUACGGGAGGCAGCAGUGGGGAAUAUUGGACAAUGGGCGAAAGCCUGAUCCAGCCAUGCCGCGUGUGUGAAGAAGGCCUUCGGGUUGUAAAGCACUUUCAGUGGGGAAGAAAGCCUUGGGGCUAAUACCCUCGAGGAAGGACAUCACCCACAGAAGAAGCACCGGCUAACUCCGUGCCAGCAGCCGCGGUAAUACGGAGGGUGCGAGCGUUAAUCGGAAUUACUGGGCGUAAAGCGCGCGUAGGCGGUCUGAUAAGCCGGUUGUGAAAGCCCCGGGCUCAACCUGGGAACGGCAUCCGGAACUGUCAGGCUAGAGUGCAGGAGAGGAAGGUAGAAUUCCCGGUGUAGCGGUGAAAUGCGUAGAGAGCGGGAGGAAUACCAGUGGCGAAGGCGGCCUUCUGGACUGACACUGACGCUGAGGUGCGAAAGCGUGGGUAGCAAACAGGAUUAGAUACCCCUGUAGUU
RNAcentral lists this ribosomal RNA (465 nucleotides) under Vreelandella stevensii. RNAcentral describes it as "partial 16S ribosomal RNA". It matches the Rfam family "Bacterial small subunit ribosomal RNA", at positions 338 to 795 of the family's 1533-position model. Lineage: Bacteria; Pseudomonadati; Pseudomonadota; Gammaproteobacteria; Oceanospirillales; Halomonadaceae. The record is from RNAcentral.